CAAGUACUCCCUCCGUCUGGAAUUACUUGUCAUCAAAAUGGAUGUGUCUAGAACUAAAAUACAUCUAGAUACAGCCAUUUCAAUGACAAGUAUUUUCGGACGGAGGGAGUACAAG
Triticum aestivum (bread wheat) is the source of this 115-nucleotide non-coding RNA. NCBI's taxonomy places the organism in Eukaryota, Viridiplantae, Streptophyta, Magnoliopsida, Poales, Poaceae. The record is from Rfam.